GCAUCCAUGGCUGAAUGGUUAAAGCGCCCAACUCAUAAUUGGCGAAUUCGUACUGGAUGCA
RNAcentral lists this transfer RNA (61 nucleotides) under Gossypium arboreum. It matches the Rfam family "tRNA". From Rfam's summary of the family: Transfer RNA (tRNA) molecules are approximately 80 nucleotides in length. Their secondary structure includes four short double-helical elements and three loops (D, anti-codon, and T loops). Lineage: Eukaryota; Viridiplantae; Streptophyta; Magnoliopsida; Malvales; Malvaceae. The record is from Rfam by way of RNAcentral.